CAACUCGCCUACACGAAGCUGGAAUCGCUAGUAAUCGCGGAUCAGCACGCCGCGGUGAAUACGCUCCCGGGCCUUGUACACACCGCCCGUCACACCAUGAGAGUCUGUAACACCCAAAGCCGGUGGGAUAACCUUUAUAGGAGUCAGCCGUCUAAGGUAGGACAGAUGAUUAGGGUGAAGUCGUAACAAGGUAAC
This 195-nucleotide ribosomal RNA is filed under the name uncultured bacterium. RNAcentral's name for it is "partial 16S ribosomal RNA". It matches the Rfam family "Bacterial small subunit ribosomal RNA", at positions 1308 to 1500 of the family's 1533-position model. The record is from RNAcentral.